This 524-nucleotide ribosomal RNA is filed under the name uncultured bacterium. Its description in RNAcentral is "partial 16S ribosomal RNA". It matches the Rfam family "Bacterial small subunit ribosomal RNA", at positions 28 to 523 of the family's 1533-position model. The record is from RNAcentral.
GACGAACGCUGGCGGCGUGCCUAAUACAUGCAAGUCGAGCGCAGGAAACUGACGGAACUCUUCGGAGGGAAGGCAGUGGAAUGAGCGGCGGACGGGUGAGUAACACGUAAGGAACCUGCCUCAAGGAUUGGGAUAACUCCGAGAAAUCGGAGCUAAUACCGGAUAGUUCAUCGGACCGCAUGGUCCGUUGAUGAAAGGCGCUCCGGCGUCACCUUGAGAUGGCCUUGCGGUGCAUUAGCUAGUUGGUGGGGUAACGGCCCAACAAGGCGACGAUGCAUAGCCGACCUGAGAGGGUGAUCGGCCACACUGGGACUGAGACACGGCCCAGACUCCUACGGGAGGCAGCAGUAGGGAAUCUUCCACAAUGGACGAAAGUCUGAUGGAGCAACGCCGCGUGAGUGAUGAAGGUUUUCGGAUCAUAAAACUCUGUUGUAAGGGAAGAACACGUACGAGAGGAAAUGCUCGUACCUUGACGGUACCUUACGAGAAAGCCACGGCUAACUACGUGCCAGCAGCCGCGGUAA